GAUGAAGAACGUAGCGAAAUGCGAAAAGUAAUGUGAAUUGCAGAAUUCAGUGAACCAUCGAAUCUUUGAACGCACAUUGCGCCCGCUGGAACUCCGGCGGGCACGCCUGUCCGAGCGUCAUUUCAACCCUCAGGCCUCCCUUCGCGGGCGGGCCUGGUGUUGGGGCCCGGCCGCUACCCUGCGGCCGUCCCCUAAAUCCAGUGGCGGCCUCGCCGUGAUCCCUUGCGUAGUAAUGCACCUCGCACCGGAGAGCGCCGUGGCCACGCCGUAAAACCCCCAAUUUUCAAUGGUUGACCUCGGAUCAGGUGGGAAUACCCGCUGAACUUAAGCAUAUCAAUAAGCGGAGGA
This 348-nucleotide unclassified non-coding RNA is filed under the name soil metagenome. Its description in RNAcentral is "partial contains 5.8S ribosomal RNA, internal transcribed spacer 2, and large subunit ribosomal RNA". The stretch from base 1 to 120 matches the Rfam family "5.8S ribosomal RNA", at positions 35 to 154 of the family's 154-position model. The record is from RNAcentral.